This is a long non-coding RNA of Lingula anatina, 1755 nucleotides long. Lineage: Eukaryota; Metazoa; Brachiopoda; Lingulata; Lingulida; Lingulidae. The record is from RefSeq and is a predicted model, not a curated record.
UAACAGAUAACUCAUUAAUCUAUUUAUACAUGAAAUCAAAACUUACUGCUGUUCUACAACUUGUCCGUUGUAACAGAUAGAACAUGACCUAAUUUCUUCAUUUUUCGUCAAUCUAUCCUGACAUGUAUAUCGGUGCACUCAACUUCAGCUAUCUCUUUCAAGUCAACAAAUGGUUUAAAACACUGUUAGUUGAACUUUUUAUUUUCAUUUUACCUAUUUAUAUUUUUUUCUGGUUAAAACAAGCAUCUAACACAUUUUAAAACCAUGUGAAACUAAUGUACUAACGUCAGAACAACACAACGUCAUUAUCCAACAUGGCGGAAAUCGCAGACUGUUUGUUUGCAAAUCUUCCUCAACGAAGUCGUAUAUCAUGUGGUUUAUACUCUGUGUACAGAUAUAAAAAAGCAUGUAGUGUAUUGAAAAAUUUCAACAAAGAUAUUAACAGUCAUCUUCGUCGCGUUUACGUGGAGCAAAACAGCGUGAGUUACGAAAGCAAACUGAUUCUUGUCAGGUGUGGAUUCUUUUGUCUCCGAUGAUCGCAAUUGGACAUUUCCAAGUAUCUUUGGGAGAAUGAAUGGGUUACACCAUGUGACCAGCAUUGGGAUAUGGGCUUGGUUUGUGCUGGAAACCAUCCACACAGGGAAAAACGAGCCUAUAACGAAAUAUGUCACGGGAUUAACUUGCAGAUGUCAGUGUAGACAAAAAGCCAUUUGAAUCUACUGGUGCCACUUGGUUCAGGCAUAUUUGAGAAGUGUUAUUUGACACACAGUGAUCUUAUGGUCAGCAAGAGUCCAAAGCCUUGCAGAAACUGAAACUAGUGUGGAAAUGAGGGCUGUUGUAGAAAGGCAUAUGUGUAAAUGAAAGCCACAAUAUAACAAAUGCCGAGGAGAUGCAUGAGGCCCUAGUUUCUGCAGUUGGAGCCAUUUUCUACAUCCAGCUAGACAGACAGACUUGAUUCCUAAAACAUGAGAAAAGGUGUCUCCCUUCCUUGAGCACUUUUAACAUGAGUGAUACUGAUGUUAAAGUUAAUUUGGAUUUUUCUGAGGCAAAUGUGCCAACUGGAACCAUACCAAGCAAGAUCACAAACAAGGAAAUUUUUCUUGUCCAGAGAAGUCUUCUCUGAAAUCUUUUGCUACCAAGACUGAAGAGUAAUUGUAAGGUCCUUUUUUUAGACCACAGUUAUGAAAUGUGCCAAAAAAACAGCUUUUGAUCAAAUUAAAGUCUAGUGGGCCAACAAUCUGACUAAAGAAAAACUUAAAGCACAUCAGCUGUGAGAGAACUCCACCCUCUUGAAUAUCUCACUGAGUUACACAAUGGAUGAGCUUUAAAGUCAUCUAAACCUUUGAAACUAUAUUCAAAUAAAGUAAAGGAGUUUUACUGAAUGAGUUUAGAAGGGCACAAGAAACAGGCCAGCAGAACCUAGCAUUUGUGAGCAUGAAGAUGAGAUUGAAAUGUCAGUAAGGAGGGUUACAGACUAAUCAGGAAGAAAAAUGUAUUAAAAACUUUGAUGUUAUGAGCUGUAAUGUUUGAUAUAAAACUGCAAAGAUGUUUCAUAACACCAGGAUAUAUUUUGCAGUUGUGUUAGUUUUGCUUUUUGAAUAGAAAAUUAUCUUGUUUUGCUACAUUAUGAUAUAGUUUGUAAUGAUCACAACUAAUGUUGCACUGCUUUGCAUGUAUUGCUGUAUUACAAUUUUGUGAUUUUUUUAUUAUUUGUAAUUAUUCAUCUGAGACAACAAUAAACUGAAUUGAAUAAUU